Molecule: transfer RNA, 32 nt
Filed under: Hippotragus niger (sable antelope)
Lineage: Eukaryota; Metazoa; Chordata; Mammalia; Artiodactyla; Bovidae
Description: partial tRNA-Asp
Source: RNAcentral
UUAAAUUACAGGUGAAAGUCCCGUACAUCUCA